AGGAAUAUGCCAUGUGGAGGGAAACCACUGAACUUGGGCUACCGAAAAUAUUAAUAGACAGCAACUAAUUAAACAGGAUAGGUAGGGCCCUAAAAAACUUUGACCGAACUUGAUAAUUUUCAUUUAUCUCUGGAAAAAAAAAUUUGAUGAUAAUUACCACAGUAAAUGGAUAUUAAUAACACCCCUUUCAGGAUCUGUAUUUUCUGUCCCGCCCAUUUCCCGGUUCCCGAUUCUCAGUUCCCUCUCCCCCGAUUGCCGCCACGCCAACACCCCACAUCCACCGUCCACCGUCCACGCGAGAUUUUUCCGAUAUACUUUCAAUCAUCUCGCGAGAAAUAAAAGAUCUCCCCCUCUCUUCUUGCUCUAUGUCCAAAGCAAAAGAGGAUUAAACAGAGCGGGAAGAAGGAGAAGUAAGUAGUAGAAUCCAGCUUGGAAAUCUGUUUCCCAAUGCAUUUAAUUACUAUUUUGCCACUAUAAUUACUCACCGCACACCUCUCUCUCUCUCUCUCUCAGUCUCAGACAGACUCUCAGUCUCAGUCUCACACCCACUGCUCUUUAUACACACCAUAUAGAGACACCAAACCCUCCUUCCUUCCCUUUCCAACUUAUUCUAUAUAAAUACUUUGCCAUCAAUCCAAGCCAAACAAAUAUAAUUAUUAAAAAUAAAUAAAUAAAUAAAUAAAAUAAAUAAAAAGAAAAAAGAAAAGAAAAGAAAAGAAGAAGAAGCUCUUUUCGGUCCUCAUUAUAAUAAUCCUCUACUCUUUCAAACACACACAAUCACACACACACACUCUCUCUCUCUUCCCGAAUCUCUCUCAGUUUCAGAGCUCUCCACUCUCCCCAGUUUUUCAUUCAGCGCAUGAAAGAAUGGGGAAUUAACAAUCGGUGAACGGUUGUCGCUUGUAAUCGUUUCGUUUCCUUUUGCAUUGGAAUUUUCGCGACGUCGUUUUGGUUGGCCGAAAUGCGAGUCAAGGAGAUGCACCCGCUCUGCUGCAUCACGCUGGAGAGCGCGGGACUCGGCGACCAGUCGCCGGAGAUCUCGCUCUCCCGGACCCGUAGCCUUCCGACGAGUCUGGCGACGGCGCCGCUUGGAUCUGAUACCAAUGCCUCCGGCCGGCCGGCGGGAUCUGAGACCACCGUCGCCGGAGUUCUCCACAAGUGGACCAAUUACAGCAAGGGGUGGAGAUCCAGGUGGUUUCUUCUCCGAAACGGCGUCCUCUCCUACGCCAAGAUUCGGCGCCCCGAAACGCUCAGUCUCUUGACGCCAAACGACGACGUUCGACUCAUCGGUGAGAUCUCCACUCACCGCCUUUCGAGGAUUGACAGCGGCACGGGGAGACGGAACAAUAAGCCCCCAAAAACUGUUGGAAUCGUCCACCUCAAGCAGAUCUCAUCCUUCAGAGAAAGCAAGUCUGAUGAUCGGAAGUUUUACAUAUUUACUGCUACAAAGACCCUUCAUUUAAGAACUAAUUCAAGGAGUGAUCGGGCAGCUUGGCUACAAGCUUUGGUCUCAACUCGGAGCCUAUUUCCGCUUAGAUACUUGAAUGAUAGUCUCUCCCUUGUACAAACUGAUUUAUCUGUAUCGACUGAAAGACUGAAAAAACGCCUACUUGAAGAGGGAACCAGUGAGAACCUUGUUCAGGAUUGCGAGCAGAUAAUGCUCUCUGAAUUUUCUCAAAUACAAGGACAGUAUAAGGUUCUCUGUGAAGAACGAUCCAAUUUACUCGACACGCUAAGGCAGUUGGAGGCAGCUAAUUAUGAAGCUGAUGCGUCUGGGAUUCAUAAUGGUGAAUACCAAUUGACGAAGCAUGAGUUUCCCGGUUUGGGACAGGGAAAAUAUAGUGGUACACAGUUUAUCACAACUGAAUCAUCUGAUGAUAUUGAGAAACAAGAGCUUGAGGAAGUGUCAGAUGAAGAUGAAAUGCCAUUUCAUGACACAAAAGAAUAUUUUACUGAACCACACAUAGGUUGUGGGUCUAUGAAAGGAGUUGUAAAUAACAGUAAUAAGCACCGUGAACCUCGAAGUCAAUUUGAUAAUGUUGAGGAGAUGCAAACUGAGAAGGAAGUUCAUGGUUAUAGAUACCCACACAUUGAAAGGCGAAAAGAGCUUCCCACUCCAGUUGAGAAGGAGAAAGGGGUCAGCCUUUGGUCUAUGAUCAAAGACAACGUGGGAAAGGAUCUCACUCGAGUUUGCCUCCCUGUGUACUUUAACGAGCCAAUAUCGUCUCUUCAAAAGUGUUGUGAGGACUUGGAGUACUCGUAUCUUUUAGAUCGGGCAUAUGAGUAUGGGAAAAUGGGAAAUAGUCUCCAAAGGGUUCUAAAUGUUGCUGCAUUUGCGGUUUCUGGAUAUGCAUCGUCUGUAGGGCGGCACUGCAAGCCAUUCAAUCCUUUGUUAGGCGAAACUUAUGAAGCUGACUAUCCUGAUAAAGGAAUUCGCUUCUUCUCUGAAAAGGUUAGUCACCACCCAACGCUCAUUGCCUGUCACUGUGAAGGUAGAGGGUGGAAGUUCUGGGCUGAUAGCAAUAUCCGCACAAAAUUUUGGGGGCGAUCAAUUCAGCUUGACCCUGUUGGAGUUCUGAGCUUGGAGUUUGACGAUGGUGAAAUUUUCCAGUGGAGCAAGGUCACAACAAGUAUAUAUAAUCUUAUUCUUGGUAAAGUAUACUGCGAUCACCAUGGUACAAUGCAUAUACGGGGUAAUCGUCAGCAUUCAUGCAAACUGAAGUUCAAAGAGCAAUCAAUUCUUGACCGAAAUCCUCACCAGGUCCAUGGAGUUGUGGAAGACGUGAUGGGGAAAAAGGUUGCUACGCUAUUUGGGAAGUGGGAUGAAAGCAUACAUUAUGUUAAUGGUGAUGGCAGUGGCAAGCCAAAUCCUUCAGAUGCUUCGUUGUUGUGGAAAAGUAGUAAACCUCCUAACGUCACACGGUAUAACUUAACUUCAUUCGCAAUCACACUGAACGAGCUAACACCUGGACUGCAGCUUUGUCUGAUCCCGGGUAUUUGAUCACGGAUUAAGGAGAAGCUACCACCCACGGAUUCCAGGCUCAGGCCGGACCAGCGGCAUUUGGAGAAUGGAGAAUAUGAAAAGGCAAAUGCAGAGAAACAGCGGUUGGAGAAAAGGCAAAGAAUGUCGAGGAAACUACAAGAAAAUGGGUGGAAACCUAGAUGGUUCCAGAGAGAAGGUGAAGAUGGACCUUUCCGCUACGUUGGGGGCUAUUGGGAAACACGGAAGCAGGGAAAAUGGGAUGAAUGUCCAGACAUUUUUGGUGAAUUUAGUGAAGGCCUUGAUGAAGCAUUAGAAGGGUCAUGAUUAUGAUUCAGGAAAAAUAAAACGCGUUGAGAUGGCCACAGUCAAAGCUGUGUAAAACUUAGCUUGGCGUUUCCUGAGUUGGUGUAUUUGUUCAAGAGUUUGGUCGUCAAGUUGAUAGCAGAUAUCCUCCUGGACAUUUUAAAGAAGAAUUCUCUCUCUCCUUUGACUGUAAGUUGAUGAUGAUGAUGGUUAGACUGUAGUCUUAUGUAUCCUUGUAAUGUUAUCAUUGUCAGUGUCAUGGGAUAUUAGUUUACUUAUCUAAUCUCUCUCCUUUUCUCACUCUCACAUAUGUUGUAGUUUGUUUAUUAUCUUUCUUUUCUUUGGGUGCUAACCAUUGGUUAAGCAUUUUCAUAUUUAUUUGUAUUUUCUUUAGUAAUAAAAAGAAAAAUGUAAUUUGUCAUCAUUCAGUUAUGUAAUAGCUUUGGUCUGGCAAUUAUUAUACAAGUGUUCUUGCUACGAACUUCAUCGAUUUGAAUUCGGUGAGGAUUAAACUGAAUC
Molecule: RNA transcript, 3805 nt
Organism: Prunus persica (peach)
Lineage: Eukaryota; Viridiplantae; Streptophyta; Magnoliopsida; Rosales; Rosaceae
Gene name: oxysterol-binding protein-related protein 2A
Exons: 12
Source: RefSeq, a predicted model, not a curated record